This 76-nucleotide transfer RNA is filed under the name Candidatus Hydrogenedentota bacterium. RNAcentral's name for it is "tRNA-Trp". It matches the Rfam family "tRNA". From Rfam's summary of the family: Transfer RNA (tRNA) molecules are approximately 80 nucleotides in length. Their secondary structure includes four short double-helical elements and three loops (D, anti-codon, and T loops). Further hydrogen bonds mediate the characteristic L-shaped molecular structure. tRNAs have two regions of fundamental functional importance: the anti-codon, which is responsible for specific mRNA codon recognition, and the 3' end, to which the tRNAs corresponding amino acid is attached (by aminoacyl-tRNA synthetases). tRNAs cope with the degeneracy of the genetic code in two manners: having more than one tRNA (with a specific anti-codon) for a particular amino acid; and 'wobble' base-pairing, i.e. permitting non-standard base-pairing at the 3rd anti-codon position. The record is from RNAcentral. Lineage: Bacteria; Pseudomonadati; Candidatus Hydrogenedentota.
AGGCCUGUAACACAAUGGCUAGUGUAGCGGCCUCCAAAGCCGAAGGUUGGGGGUUCGAGUCCCUCCAGGCCUGCCA